RNAcentral lists this ribosomal RNA (404 nucleotides) under uncultured bacterium. RNAcentral's name for it is "bacterial SSU rRNA". It matches the Rfam family "Bacterial small subunit ribosomal RNA", at positions 355 to 776 of the family's 1533-position model. The record is from RNAcentral.
UGGGGAAUUUUGCACAAUGGGGGAAACCCUGAUGCAGCGACGCCGCGUGGAGGAUGAAGGCCUUCGGGUUGUAAACUCCUUUUGUAGGGGAAAAUAGUGAUGGUACCCUAUGAAUAAGCCACGGCUAACUCUGUGCCAGCAGCCGCGGUAAGACAGAGGUGGCGAGCGUUGUUCGGAAUUACUGGGCUUAAAGGGCGAGUAGGCGGUGGGACAAGUCUGAUGUGGAAUCUUAGGGCUUAACCCUAAAAUUGCAUUAGAAACUGUUUUACUUGAGUCAGUGAGGGGAGGGCGGAAUUCCUGGUGUAGCGGUGAAAUGCGUAGAUAUCAGGAGGAAGGCCGGUGGCGAAGGCGGCCCUCUGGCACUGUACUGACGCUGAGGCGCGAAAGCGUGGGGAGCAAACAGG